GAUGAACGCUGGCGGCGUGCCUAAUACAUGCAAGUCGAGCGAACGGACGAGAAGCUUGCUUCUCUGAUGUUAGCGGCGGACGGGUGAGUAACACGUGGAUAACCUACCUAUAAGACUGGGAUAACUUCGGGAGACCGGAGCUAAUACCGGAUAAUAUUUUGAACCGCAUGGUUCAAAAGUGAAAGACGGUCUUGCUGUCACUUAUAGAUGGAUCCGCGCUGCAUUAGCUAGUUGGUAAGGUAACGGCUUACCAAGGCAACGAUGCAUAGCCGACCUGAGAGGGUGAUCGGCCUCACUGGAACUGAGACACGGUCCAGACUCCUACGGGAGGCAGCAGUAGGGAAUCUUCCGCAAUGGGCGAAAGCCUGACGGAGCAACGCCGCGUGAGUGAUGAAGGUCUUCGGAUCGUAAAACUCUGUUAUUAGGGAAGAACAUAUGUGUAAGUAACUGUGCACAUCUUGACGGUACCUAAUCAGAAAGCCACGGCUAACUACGUG
RNAcentral lists this ribosomal RNA (497 nucleotides) under uncultured bacterium. RNAcentral's name for it is "partial 16S ribosomal RNA". It matches the Rfam family "Bacterial small subunit ribosomal RNA", at positions 28 to 507 of the family's 1533-position model. The record is from RNAcentral.